This is a small nuclear RNA of Schistocerca americana (American grasshopper), 103 nucleotides long. NCBI's taxonomy places the organism in Eukaryota, Metazoa, Arthropoda, Insecta, Orthoptera, Acrididae. The record is from RefSeq and is a predicted model, not a curated record.
AUCACUUAGAUGUUAUGUAUGCUAAAACUGAAACAAUACAGAGAAAAGUAGCAUGGACCCUGUGCAAAAUGACAUGCAAAAUCAUAAAGCAAUCACUUUUUUA